Molecule: ribosomal RNA, 394 nt
Filed under: uncultured bacterium
Lineage: Bacteria
Description: bacterial SSU rRNA
Rfam family: Bacterial small subunit ribosomal RNA
Source: RNAcentral
GACGAACGCUGGCGGCGCGCCUAACACAUGCAAGUCGAGCGUGAACCGAGCCUUCGGGUUCGGGGAAAGCGGCGAACGGGUGAGUAACACGUGGGUAACCUGUCCUCGGCACCGGGAUAGCCCGGGGAAACCCGGAUUAAUACCGGACGGUCUCCGAAGCCUACGGGCGUCGGAGAAAAGGUGGCUUCGGCAUCCGGCCGAGGAGGGGCCGUGCGGCGGAUUAGCUUGUUGGUGGGUAACGGCCCACCAAGGCGACGANCCGUAGCUGGUCUGAGAGGACGAUCAGCCACACUGGGACUGAGACACGGCCCAGACUCCUACGGGAGGCAGCAGUGGGGAAUCUUGCGCAAUGGGGCGAAAGCCUGACGCAGCGACGCCGCGUGCGGGAAGAAGG